UCACUCUGUUCGCCUACUCGGUUUCCUGCGUUCUAUCGCCGCGUUGGUUUUCUAGGGUUUUUUUCGCAAGACGCAUUCUCCGAGCCUCUGAAUUUCACAAUCGAUCGCUCUCUCUGCUCUCAGCCUCUCGUAGACAGAGCUUUCUUUCGCUUCCGCCAUGUCGUCUUCAAAGAGCAGAAAGAGGAAGUCACGAGCUGUUGAGACUCUUGCACAGUUGACACCAAACGAUCUGGUAAAUUCAAGCCAUUGGGUCUAAGAAAGGAUGCAUGAAAGGCCAGGGAGGGUCUCAGAACGCACAAUGCAUAGAGGAGUAAGACAAAGGACCUGGGGCAAAUGGUUUGUACAAAUCCGAGUGCCAAACGGGGGAAGAGGCUCUGGUUGGGUACUUUUACAAACUCUGUGGAAGGUGCCCGUGCUUAUGAUGAAGCUGCGAGUAGGAUUCUGUAUGGCUCUCGUGCUCGCCUCAACUUUCCAGCAGGGUUGGAUUCAACGACUACAUCAAACUACUCUAAAAUACCCUCGAGUAAUUGCUACAUCGACAUCACGUGUUUCUCCUAAUGUGAUGAUUGAGGAAGGGGAAAGUGAAUUGAGAGCUGAAUCUCAACAUUCUGUAGUUGCUGAAACUAACACGCUCUCUAUACUGGAGGAUUUGACAUGUCCAAGCAUUGCUACAUCCACAUAUGUUUCGCCUAAUUUGAUGAUUGGAUUUUGCAACUGUGUAAGAUCUGAUGAUGGCUUCCCACAUUGGUCGACAUCAAGACACCCCAAUUGAAUCAUCGUUGAAAAGCUCUAGAAUGCUAUCCAAAUCAAACAUUUCACCCUCAUCCAUCAAAGGACAUGUCAGAUCCUCCUGUAUCGUGGGCGUGUUAGUUUCAGCAACUAGAGAAUGCUAAGAUUUAGCUCUCAAUUCACCUUCCCCUUCCUCAAUCAUCACAUUAGGAGAAACACCCUAAAACGUGAUGUCGAUGUAGCAAUGCUUUCUCCAUCCUCAUUCCUCAAGGGUAUUUUAUAGUAGUUUGAUGUAGUCGUUGAAUCCAACCCUGCUGGAAAGUUGAGGCGAGCACGUGAGCCAUACAGAAUCCUCGCAGCUCGCAGCUUCAUCAUAAGCACGGGCACCUUCCACAGAGUUUGUAAAAGUACCCAACCAGAGCCUCUCGGAUUUUCAACGAUGAUUUCUUUAAAGACAUGGGAUCAUUUUUCGACGAUAUUGGUCAAUUGGGGUGUCUUGAUGUCGACCAAUGUGGGAAGCCAUCAUUAGAUCUUACAUAGUUGCAAAAUCCAAAUGACAAGUUGCUAGGGGUUUGAAUCAUAUGGGUAGGCACCUUCCGGAGUUGGUUAAUGGAGUAUAAGAAGGAUGAAUUCAUGAUUAUUAUAUUUCAGAUUUGACUCGUGUGAGGGUAUGGCAAUUUUGUUAGAUAUGUUGAUUUGUAUUCUUUUUAGUUGAUUCUUUAUAGCUUAUAUAUAUAAGCGAUUCUCCAUGCUGAUUGGGGAAUUUAACUUCUUUUUUCCUCUGUAAGUGAUCUUUAUAGGUUUCAGAUUGGGGCUUUGGGGGUAUAUAAAUGUAAAUGAACGAUCUUUAUGGGUCGGGAUAAUAAACAAAGUUUUAGUUGUGUAUUUUUCUUAUUGCUUGUCUUGCAUAAUACACACUAUGUUCAACUC
Corylus avellana is the source of this 1659-nucleotide long non-coding RNA. RefSeq lists it as uncharacterized. The record is from RefSeq and is a predicted model, not a curated record. NCBI's taxonomy places the organism in Eukaryota, Viridiplantae, Streptophyta, Magnoliopsida, Fagales, Betulaceae.